GUGUCAGCAGCCGCGGUAAUACGAAGGUCCCAAGCGUUGUUCGGAAUCACUGGGCGUAAAGGGAGCGUAGGCGGCGCGGUAAGUCAGAUGUGAAAUCCCGGGGCUCAACCCCGGAACUGCAUCCGAUACUGCCGUGCUAGAGCAAUGGAGAGGUAGCUGGAAUUAUCGGUGUAGCAGUGAAAUGCGUAGAUAUCGAUAGGAACACUCGUGGCGAAAGCGAGCUACUGGACAUUUGCUGACGCUGAGGCUCGAAGGCUAGGGGAGCGAAAGGGAUUAGAUACCCCUGUAGUCCUAGCAGUAAACGGUGCACGCUUGGUGUGAGGGGAUUCGACCCCCCUUGUGCCGGAGCUAACGCGUUAAGCGUGCCGCCUGGGAAGUACGGUCGCAAGACUAAA
This 395-nucleotide ribosomal RNA is filed under the name uncultured bacterium. RNAcentral describes it as "bacterial SSU rRNA". It matches the Rfam family "Bacterial small subunit ribosomal RNA", at positions 505 to 898 of the family's 1533-position model. The record is from RNAcentral.